RNAcentral lists this ribosomal RNA (399 nucleotides) under Salmonella enterica subsp. enterica serovar Infantis. RNAcentral describes it as "partial 23S ribosomal RNA". It matches the Rfam family "Bacterial large subunit ribosomal RNA", at positions 1180 to 1556 of the family's 2925-position model. Lineage: Bacteria; Pseudomonadati; Pseudomonadota; Gammaproteobacteria; Enterobacterales; Enterobacteriaceae. The record is from RNAcentral.
UUACGAUUGACGGAGCGAAGCGACGUCAAAGCGUAUACAAAGUCGAGUCGGUUUAAGGAUACGUUCGUUGGGUAGGGGAGCGUUCUGUAAGCCUGUGAAGGUGUGUCGUGAGGCAUGCUGGAGGUAUCAGAAGUGCGAAUGCUGACAUAAGUAACGAUAAAGCGGGUGAAAAGCCCGCUCGCCGGAAGACCAAGGGUUCCUGUCCAACGUUAAUCGGGGCAGGGUGAGUCGACCCCUAAGGCGAGGCCGAAAGGCGUAGUCGAUGGGAAACGGGUUAAUAUUCCCGUACUUGGUGUUACUGCGAAGGGGGGACGGAGAAGGCUAUGUUGGCCGGGCGACGGUUGUCCCGGUUUAAGCGUGUAGGUGUGUGUUCCAGGUAAAUCCGGUUCACUUUAACAC